AGACUUUGAUUAUGGCUCAGGGUGAACGCUGGCGGCGCGCCUAACACAUGCAAGUCGAACGAAGAAAGGGUAGCUUGCUACCCGAGUAAGAGUGGCGAACGGGUGAGUAAAGCGUAGGAAUCUGCCCAAAGGACCGGGAUAACUGCUGGAAACGGUAGAUAAGACCGGAUAAGCCCGAGAGGGGAAAGUAUCGAGAGAUAGCCGAAGGAGGGGCCUACGUCCCAUCAGGUAGUUGGAAGUGUAAGAGACUCCCAAGCCGACGACGGGUAGCCGAUGUGAGAGCAUGAUCGGCCACAAGGGCACUGAGACACGGGUCCUACUCCUACGGGAGGCAGCAGUGGGGAAUUUUGGACAAUGGACGGAAGUCUGAUCCAGCGACGCCGCGUGAAGGAAGAAGUCCUUCGGGAUGUAAACUUCUGAACUUAUCGAAUAAAGACAACUGGGGACAGUUGGAUGAAGGUAGAUAAAGAAAAGCCCCGGCUAACUACGUGCCAGCAGCCGCGGUAAGACGUAGGGGGCGAGCGUUGCCCGGAAUUACUGGGCGUAAAGGGGGGCGUAGGCGGUCAAAUAAGUCAGAUGUGAAAUACUACUGCUCAACGGUAGAAAUGCGUUUUGAAACUGUAA
Molecule: ribosomal RNA, 624 nt
Filed under: uncultured bacterium
Lineage: Bacteria
Description: bacterial SSU rRNA
Rfam family: Bacterial small subunit ribosomal RNA
Source: RNAcentral